AGGGAAGGGUCGGAAUGUCGGGGUAGACAGCAUAAUAGUUAUGCAAAGAGACUCCUGCCCAAGUCUCUGAGCUCCCAGGGUCAAUCCCCUACAUCAUCAUCGGCCAGGGCUGAGCAGCGUUCUGGGAAAAAAGAGAGGCAGACACACAGACACACAGGCAGACAGACAGACAGGCAGUGUGUGUGCUGAGGCACCUGUCAGGGGCCAGUGAGUGCGUCAGGACGGCUCUGUCUCCCCGCCCCCCAUCCUGUCCGUCGUAGAAUGCAGCCCAGCAGCUUCCCAGAGCUGCGUUUACCUCAGUCCUACUGCUUGACACGGCUUGUCCUUAGUGAAGAGGAGGAAGGAGGAGGGAGAAGGGAGAAGGAUGAAGAGGACGAAAAGGCUGCUUGGUUAAGUCCUGUUCUGGUGUCAGUCUCUCGUCGUGUGCCCAAACCUGUGCUCCGGGCUGGGCCACCACUUUCGAGGGACGUCUCAGAGGACAGGAGCUGGCCAGGUGGCGACUCCCCAUGGACACAGGCUCUGACCAAAGGCAUCUGCAUCCGGCCCCGUCCCAGACAGCUCCCGUGCUGCCCACCAGCCGCUCCACUGCUUCAGCAGCAGUUUUGUGAUGACUCUUUGCUCUGAAACGUGCAGGCUUCUUGCUGAAAACAGUCCGUUGGCCCUCCUUCAGUCAGCAUGCCCGUGGACCCUGAGCAGCUGCAGGCUCUCACUGACUCACACGACGGCCUCACAGGUCUUGUUCUUGGUCCUCUGCGUCCCUCCCCUCGCCUCACUUUUGUCCUGAGACCUCUGGGCUGUUCUUUAAAUAAAGGUUCUGUAGAAGCACC
Long non-coding RNA from Erinaceus europaeus (western European hedgehog), 827 nucleotides. RefSeq lists it as uncharacterized. NCBI's taxonomy places the organism in Eukaryota, Metazoa, Chordata, Mammalia, Eulipotyphla, Erinaceidae. The record is from RefSeq and is a predicted model, not a curated record. The transcript has 2 exons.